UUGGGUUGUAGCUGGUCCCUAAUUAACUUGGGGGCAUGUGCACGCCUUGUCUUUCUUAUCCCACACACACCUGCGCACCUGUGACACAGAUGUUUUAUGGAGGGAAAGAAACUUUAUGGGCCUUAUUUUUUUGGGAUUCUGUCUACUUAAUCUAUAUAAACUCAAUUUAUAUUUUAAAAUGAAUGUAAUGGAUGUAACACAUCUAAUACUAAGUUUCAACAACGGAUCUCUUGGCUCUCGCAUCGAUGAAGAACGCAGCGAAAUGCGAUAAGUAAUGUGAAUUGCAGAAUUCAGUGAAUCAUCGAAUCUUUGAACGCACCUUGCGCUCCUUGGUAUUCCUUGGAGCAUGCCUGUUUGAGUAUCAUGAAAUCUUCAAAGUCAAACCUUUUGUUAACUCAAUUGGUUCUGCUUUGGUAUUGGAGGUCUAUUGCAGCUUCACACCUGCUCCUCUUUGUGCAUUUUAGCUGGAUCUCAGUGUUAUGCUUGGUUCCACUCAGCGUGAUAAGUUAUCUAUCGCUGAGGACACCCUGUUAAAAAGGGGUGGCCAAGGUAAAUGCAGAUGAACCGCUUCUAACAGUCCAUUGACUUGGACAAAUAUUAAUUUUAUGAUCUGAUCUCAAAUCAGGUA
This 628-nucleotide ribosomal RNA is filed under the name Rhizoctonia solani. Its description in RNAcentral is "eukaryotic LSU rRNA". The stretch from base 211 to 364 matches the Rfam family "5.8S ribosomal RNA". The record is from RNAcentral. Lineage: Eukaryota; Fungi; Basidiomycota; Agaricomycetes; Cantharellales; Ceratobasidiaceae.